GAUUGCGAAAACUCUACGAUGCA
This 23-nucleotide non-coding RNA is filed under the name Arabidopsis thaliana (thale cress). Lineage: Eukaryota; Viridiplantae; Streptophyta; Magnoliopsida; Brassicales; Brassicaceae. The record is from RNAcentral.